Molecule: ribosomal RNA, 1343 nt
Filed under: uncultured bacterium
Lineage: Bacteria
Description: 16S ribosomal RNA
Rfam family: Bacterial small subunit ribosomal RNA
Source: RNAcentral
GACGAACGCUGGCGGCGUGCUUAACACAUGCAAGUCGAACGGAAAGGCCCUGCUUUUGUGGGGUGCUCGAGUGGCGAACGGGUGAGUAACACGUGAGUAACCUGCCCUUGACUUUGGGAUAACUUCAGGAAACUGGGGCUAAUACCGGAUAGGAGCUCCUGCUGCAUGGUGGGGGUUGGAAAGUUUCGGCGGUUGGGGAUGGACUCGCGGCUUAUCAGCUUGUUGGUGGGGUAGUGGCUUACCAAGGCUUUGACGGGUAGCCGGCCUGAGAGGGUGACCGGCCACAUUGGGACUGAGAUACGGCCCAGACUCCUACGGGAGGCAGCAGUGGGGAAUAUUGCACAAUGGGCGGAAGCCUGAUGCAGCAGCGCCGCGUGCGGGAUGACGGCCUUCGGGUUGUAAACCGCUUUCGCCUGUGACGAAGCGUGAGUGACGGUAAUGGGUAAAGAAGCACCGGCUAACUACGUGCCAGCAGCCGCGGUGAUACGUAGGGUGCGAGCGUUGUCCGGAUUUAUUGGGCGUAAAGGGCUCGUAGGUGGUUGAUCGCGUCGGAAGUGUAAUCUUGGGGCUUAACCCUGAGCGUGCAUUCGAUACGGGUUGACUUGAGGAAGGUAGGGGAGAAUGGAAUUCCUGGUGGAGCGGUGGAAUGCGCAGAUAUCAGGAGGAACACCAGUGGCGAAGGCGGUUCUCUGGGCCUUUCCUGACGCUGAGGAGCGAAAGCGUGGGGAGCGAACAGGCUUAGAUACCCUGGUAGUCCACGCUGUAAACGGUGGGUACUAGGUGUGGGGUCCAUUCCACGGGUUCCGUGCCGUAGCUAACGCUUUAAGUACCCCGCCUGGGGAGUACGGCCGCAAGGCUAAAACUCAAAGGAAUUGACGGGGCCCCGCACAAGCGGCGGAGCAUGCGGAUUAAUUCGGUGCAACGCGUAGAACCUUACCUGGGUUUGACAUGGAUCGGGAGUGCUCAGAGAUGGGUGUGCCUCUUUUGGGGUCGGUUCACAGGUGGUGCAUGGCUGUCGUCAGCUCGUGUCGUGAGAUGUUGGGUUAAGUCCCGCAACGAGCGCAACCCUUGUUCACUGUUGCCAGCACGUUAUGGUGGGGACUCAGUGGAGACCGCCGGGGUCAACUCGGAGGAAGGUGGGGAUGACGUCAAGUCAUCAUGCCCCUUAUGUCCAGGGCUUCACGCAUGCUACAAUGGCUGGUACAGAGAGUGGCGAGCCUGUGAGGGUGAGCGAAUCUCGGAAAGCCGGUCUCAGUUCGGAUUGGGGUCUGCAACUCGACCUCAUGAAGUCGGAGUCGCUAGUAAUCGCAGAUCAGCAACGCUGCGGUGAAUACUUUCCCGGG